Molecule: ribosomal RNA, 461 nt
Filed under: uncultured Anoxybacillus sp.
Lineage: Bacteria; Bacillati; Bacillota; Bacilli; Caryophanales; Anoxybacillaceae
Description: bacterial SSU rRNA
Rfam family: Bacterial small subunit ribosomal RNA
Source: RNAcentral
GCACAAGCGGUGGAGCAUGUGGUUAAUUCGAAGCAACGCGAAGAACCUUACCAGGUCUUGACAUCCCCUGACAACCCGAGAGAUCGGGCGUUCCCCGUUCGGGGGGACAGGGUGACAGGUGGUGCAUGGUUGUCGUCAGCUCGUGUCGUGAGAUGUUGGGUUAAGUCCCGCAACGAGCGCAACCCUCGACCUUAGUUGCCAGCAUUCAGUUGGGCACUCUAAGGUGACUGCCGGCUAAAAGUCGGAGGAAGGUGGGGAUGACGUCAAAUCAUCAUGCCCCUUAUGACCUGGGCUACACACGUGCUACAAUGGCCGGUACAAAGAGUUGCGAAACUGUGAAGUUAAGCUAAUCUCAUAAAGCCGGUCUCAGUUCGGAUUGUAGUCUGCAACUCGACUACAUGAAGUCGGAAUCGCUAGUAAUCGCGAAUCAGAAUGUCGCGGUGAAUACGUUCUCGAGUCUU